This 253-nucleotide ribosomal RNA is filed under the name uncultured bacterium. RNAcentral describes it as "partial 16S ribosomal RNA". It matches the Rfam family "Bacterial small subunit ribosomal RNA", at positions 524 to 776 of the family's 1533-position model. The record is from RNAcentral.
UACGUAGGGUGCAAGCGUUGUCCGGAAUUAUUGGGCGUAAAGAGCGUGUAGGCGGCCGUACAGGUCAGCUGUGAAAACUCGAGGCUCAACCUCGAGACGUCGGUUGAAACCGUACGGCUAGAGUCCGGAAGAGGAGAGUGGAAUUCCCGGUGUAGCGGUGAAAUGCGCAGAUAUCGGGAAGAACACCCGUGGCGAAGGCGGCUCUCUGGGACGGUACUGACGCUGAGACGCGAAAGCGUGGGGAGCAAACAGG